GGAUGUGGCGCUUUCUAACUUUACUGAUAGUGAUUUAUCAGUAAAGUCAUAAAUGCACCUCAUUCCC
This 67-nucleotide microRNA precursor is filed under the name Echinococcus granulosus. RNAcentral describes it as "microRNA egr-mir-10227a precursor". The record is from miRBase by way of RNAcentral. Lineage: Eukaryota; Metazoa; Platyhelminthes; Cestoda; Cyclophyllidea; Taeniidae.